AACGAACGCUGGCGGCAGGCCUAACACAUGCAAGUCGUACGAUCCUUUUAGGAUAGUGGCGUACGGGUGAGUAACGCGUGGGAAUCUACCUUGAAGUGGGGAAUAACCUUUGGAAACGAAGGCUAAUACCGCAUACGCCUUUUAGUGGUGACACUAAGAGGGAAAGCAUUUGCGCUUUAAGAUGAGCCCGCGUUGUAUUAGCUAGUUGGUGGGGUAAGAGCUUACCAAGGCGACGAUACAUAGCUGGUCUGAGAGGACGAUCAGCCACACUGGAACUGAGACACGGUCCAGACUCCUACGGGAGGCAGCAGUGGGGAAUAUUGGACAAUGGGGGCAACCCUGAUCCAGCCAUGCCGCGUGAGUGAAGAAGGCCCUAGGGUUGUAAAGCUCUUUCAGUCGUGAAGAUGAUGACGGUAGCGACAGAAGAAGCCCCGGCUAACUCCG
RNAcentral lists this ribosomal RNA (444 nucleotides) under uncultured Alphaproteobacteria bacterium. RNAcentral describes it as "bacterial SSU rRNA". It matches the Rfam family "Bacterial small subunit ribosomal RNA", at positions 29 to 505 of the family's 1533-position model. Lineage: Bacteria; Pseudomonadati; Pseudomonadota; Alphaproteobacteria. The record is from RNAcentral.